UAAACACACGUGUUAAAUUUUUUGAAUGAGACGGUCGAAUCUAGAUCAAAACGCUAAUGAUGAUAAUAUAGACCAAUUUAAGCGUAAUGAUGAUUUCUCAGAAGAAUUAUCAUCGAAGGUAUCUGCUUUAAAAUCAUUGUCGAUAGAAAUUGGAUCGGAAAUCAAGUAUCAAAAUUCCUUUUUAUCUGACAUGCAUCAAAAUUUUGAAGGAUCUUCAAGCUUAUUGAACUCGUCUAUAAAACGUUUAAAAAAUAUAUCAAAAAUGGGUAAAGAUAAAUUUAUACUCCGUUUACUUUUAUAUUGUUUUAUUAUUUUUUUUAUAUUAUAUUUAUAUAUAAAAUUUAUUUAAUAUAUGUUGAUAAUAUAAUCUUAUAACUGGUUAUACAUAAUAUAUAUAUAUUUUUUUAAAUAUAUAAUUAAAAAUAAAUUAAAAAAUUUUUUAUACCUUAGUUGUUUUAUUUAUCUAAAUCAACCUUUUUUUACCAUUUUAUAUUAUUGAAUUAUAAAAUCUUGUUUAUUAUUUAUCCAAAAUUUCACACUUAAAAUUUUUAUGUGUCAAAACUUAUUUAUUUUAACAAAAAUAUUUUAAAUAUGCUUUUAUUUAGUGAUUAUGCUAUUCACAAAUUUUAGUAUUAUCAAAAUUUCAUAAGUGUUUGUUUUGCAGAGCAAUCAUUUUCAGGACUCAUCUUAAAUGAUAUUUACAUUCUACAAUGAAACAGCAACAACAAUAUCCCAAUUUUAAAUGUUUAUAAAGAAGA
This is a long non-coding RNA of Gordionus sp. m RMFG-2023, 758 nucleotides long. RefSeq lists it as uncharacterized. The record is from RefSeq and is a predicted model, not a curated record. NCBI's taxonomy places the organism in Eukaryota, Metazoa, Nematomorpha, Gordioida, Chordodea, Parachordodidae. The transcript has 4 exons.